GCUCCAGUGGCGCAAUCAGUUAGCGCGCGGUACUUAUACAGCAGUGCCGAGGUUGUGAGUUCGAGUCUCACCUGGAGCA
Molecule: non-coding RNA, 79 nt
Organism: Paramormyrops kingsleyae
Lineage: Eukaryota; Metazoa; Chordata; Actinopteri; Osteoglossiformes; Mormyridae
Source: the annotation of a RefSeq genome assembly